This 440-nucleotide ribosomal RNA is filed under the name uncultured bacterium. RNAcentral describes it as "partial 16S ribosomal RNA". It matches the Rfam family "Bacterial small subunit ribosomal RNA", at positions 338 to 795 of the family's 1533-position model. The record is from RNAcentral.
CCUACGGGAUGCAGCAGUCGGGAAUAUUGCGCAAUGGAGGAAACUCUGACGCAGUGACGCCGCGUGCAGGAAGAAGGUUUUCGGAUUGUAAACUGCUUUAGACAGGGAAGAAAAAAGACAGUACCUGUAGAAUAAGCUCCGGCUAACUACGUGCCAGCAGCCGCGGUAAUACGUAGGGAGCAAGCGUUAGACGGAUUUAUUGGGUGUAAAGGGUGCGUAGGCGGAGUUUUAAGUCAGCGGUAACAUGUCCGGGCUCAACCCGGGCCGGCCGUUGAAACUGGGGAUCUUGAGUGGGCGAUAAGUAUGCGGAAGGCGUGGUGUAGCGGUGAAAUGCAUAGAUAUCACGCAGAACUCCGAUUGCGAAGGCAGCAUACCGGCGCCCGACUGACGCUGAGGCACGAAAGCGUGGGGAUCGAACAGGAUUAGAUACCCCAGUAGUC